GCGUCGGUGGUGUAGUGGUAGUAGUACGCGUUCCCGGUAUGGAUGAAACGCGGGUUCGAUUCCCGCCUGAGGCC
Non-coding RNA from Parelaphostrongylus tenuis, 74 nucleotides. The record is from the annotation of a GenBank genome assembly. Lineage: Eukaryota; Metazoa; Nematoda; Chromadorea; Rhabditida; Metastrongylidae.